GGGAACGCUGGGCUUCGACAAGUAUUCGCGAAUCAUUACGCUGAAUAGGGUUUGCUUGCACCUUCGAACAACAGGCAAAGUCAUAACUGCCAACUUAUCUAAUAGGCAACCCGCAUUGGCAUUUGCUUAAUGUCGGGUAGUCCCUUCUCUUACGCUCGAUACGAGACAGGGGCUUCAUACAUCGAGAUAGAUGGUGUGAGGACUUGAGCUUCACCGCACACCACGACACUAACGAAGCGCGUGCGUUUUGUGUUUUGUUAAUUUUCAAGCAUAACGUGUACUACUAAAUUAACUAGGAUUCUGUAGAAGUAAUGAGUCAACCUACUUGGAUGCGGGUUCAACUCCCGCCGUUUCCACCA
This 359-nucleotide transfer-messenger RNA is filed under the name Patescibacteria group bacterium. It matches the Rfam family "transfer-messenger RNA". From Rfam's summary of the family: Bacterial tmRNA, also known as 10Sa RNA or SsrA, is named for its dual tRNA and mRNA-like properties. Its role is to liberate the mRNA from a stalled ribosome. The record is from RNAcentral.